UGUGGGAGCGGGCUUGCUCGCGAUUGGAUCGCCGAGGUGCGACUGAUACACCGCGUCGCUGCCAUCGCGAGCAAGCCCGCUCCCACA
Molecule: unclassified non-coding RNA, 87 nt
Filed under: Pseudomonas fragi
Lineage: Bacteria; Pseudomonadati; Pseudomonadota; Gammaproteobacteria; Pseudomonadales; Pseudomonadaceae
Source: RNAcentral